AACUGACACCUUCCACUACGGAUCGUCCGGCACGUACCUGCCGGUGAAGGGAAAAAUUA
This is a regulatory RNA element of Actinomyces sp., 59 nucleotides long. It matches the Rfam family "msiK RNA". NCBI's taxonomy places the organism in Bacteria, Bacillati, Actinomycetota, Actinomycetes, Actinomycetales, Actinomycetaceae. The record is from Rfam.